RNAcentral lists this ribosomal RNA (465 nucleotides) under uncultured Pseudomonadota bacterium. Its description in RNAcentral is "bacterial SSU rRNA". It matches the Rfam family "Bacterial small subunit ribosomal RNA", at positions 338 to 795 of the family's 1533-position model. Lineage: Bacteria; Pseudomonadati; Pseudomonadota. The record is from RNAcentral.
CCUACGGGUGGCAGCAGUGGGGAAUAUUGGACAAUGGGGGAAACCCUGAUCCAGCGACGCCGCGUGUGUGAAGAAGGCCUGCGGGUUGUAAAGCACUUUUAGUGGGGAGAAAAAGCUACGGGCCAAUACCCUGUGGUCUUGAUUUAACCCAAAGAAAAAGCACCGGCUAACUCUGUGCCAGCAGCCGCGGUAAUACAGAGGGUGCAAGCGUUAAUCGGAAUUACUGGGCGUAAAGCGUGCGUAGACGGUUGUUUAAGUCGGAUGUGAAAGCCCCGGGCUCAACCUGGGAAUUGCAUUCGAGACUGAAUAGCUAGGGUGCGGAAGAGGGAAGCGGAAUUUCCGGUGUAGCAGUGAAAUGCGUAGAUAUCGGAAGGAACAUCAGUGGCGAAAGCGGCUUCCUGGUCCAGCACCGACGUUCAGGCACGAAAGCGUGGGGAGCAAACAGGAUUAGAUACCCUAGUAGUC